AUGUCCGCCGGACCGACGACGGCCAGGACAACGUCCGGCGUCCAGCGCUGGAACGAGGAGCUCGACCAGGCUGAGCUGGGCGUCCAACCGGACAAGGCAGCAGUCCACGCCGGCGAGUGCGUGCAUGGCCCACCCCUCCGCCCACGGCGAUGGGGCUCCCGGCUGCGCAGCCGCAGCGUGGAGCAUCCGCGCGUAUGUGUAUGCGUCAGCGGCCACCCUACACGCUGCAUCUUCAUGAAUACGCCUAUUAAAUCCAGACUUGCAGCAAGGCGUCGCCGCGGUACGACCCAUCACGCCCUCUGCAUCCAAUCUCUCUUUCUAACAUCUAAGUGCAUCAGCAGGUUUGAGCAGAGAAUCUAG
Molecule: ribosomal RNA, 360 nt
Filed under: Triticum aestivum (bread wheat)
Lineage: Eukaryota; Viridiplantae; Streptophyta; Magnoliopsida; Poales; Poaceae
Description: partial small subunit ribosomal RNA
Source: RNAcentral